Alosa sapidissima (American shad) is the source of this 2835-nucleotide RNA transcript. It is a transcript of the gene named proline-rich protein LAS17, with no coding region annotated. The record is from RefSeq and is a predicted model, not a curated record. The transcript has 5 exons. NCBI's taxonomy places the organism in Eukaryota, Metazoa, Chordata, Actinopteri, Clupeiformes, Clupeidae.
ACGCUGUCUGUUUCCAGAUAGAAAUUGUGAUUUCAGCAUUUGGAUAAUUUCCACAAAAUAGGCCGUUUUAAAACAUAGGCAGGGUACAGUGUCAUGAACAAACAACGAGUCGCGGAAUUUUCUAAAUGUAGUCCUACUAAUAUGGCGAAAUACACCACUACCGAAACUGGUAGACCUACAGUACUGUAUGUUUGAUCUAGGCUAUGAGCAUUUACAAACCAACAAUCCUACAAAAAAUAACUGCACUAUAAUCUACUGCAAGUGUCAAAACAGCAGUUUGGAGAAAUUAUUUGCAGUAUGCAGGAAAUGCAAUAUUUUGGACAUUAAAAUAUUAUUGUAGGCUACUGCAGUAUAUUUUGAAUAGUAAAACUGCAGUUAUUUUUUGUAAGGGGUAGCCUAGGCCUACUUUUCCAUACAAAGUAGCCUACAUGGACAAGGAGUGGGGGCAUGAAAUAUAGCCUAGUCCAAAAGUAAGCUCGCUCUAACGCCUAAGUUGCAUCAAAAUUGAGACAUUUUGUCAAUCUGUGAUAUCAAGUCAUCAUUUGCUUUUGCAUCCAGAAUAAAUGUUAAGGUGACGAAAAUACCAUGCCAUAGAGCAGCGAGCAGCAGAGUUGUCCUACUCGUUAUUGGCCAAUCCUGGCCUCCCACAAUGCAUCUGUUUCUGAUAUCUGUUUCAGACCACGGAUCUCUUCUUUAAAAUUCACAAUGUCAGCGAACACAUUGUGCGUAAUGUUGAGAAUUAUACAUGGUAGCUUGUGUGUGUACUAAGACCUUAGUAUUAUAUAGAUAUAGAACCACCCUUAUGCUGACGCUUAUGUAUUGUUAUAAAGAUUUCCUCAGCUCAAGCAAUCGUCCGAUCCUUCUAGGUCAUACACGUGAUGAUUGGUCGAUCCACGAUGUUUUCGUGAAAUGUGCAGCCUUCUUGUUACGCUUGGCACACGACCCUUCUGAUUUAAAAUGUCAAAGGUAAAUGACUUGUGAGGUAUGUUUUGCUUCCGUUUCUACUAAACGUUUAAUAGCACUCCACCAUCAGUGGGCAAUCCUUUCCCUGUUUUUGUCUGUCACUGAUAUUACGCGAAUGAAGAUAGCCUAUCAAUACAUCGGACAGAAAAUAAUGUGGCAUGAAUAAAUAACCAACAUGUUCCGCUUUCGUUUUCAGGCAUCCACCUUAGCCGCAUCUUUCUUAGUGCACGGUCGGAUCUUCUUGUCGGCUUAAUUUAAAAACGUAAAAAAUGUAGCCACCAGGUUCAGAGAAAGCGGAGAUAAAAAGUCACCUGGCAUUUUGCCUUUCACUUUGCUUUUCACUGACUUUUGCUUUCUGCCCGCAACAUAAUGCUCGUGUUUGUGGUGGGUGCCUGCUGACCUCCCAACUUCCUAAAUAGCCCUCAGCAUGACAGACCACCGUUGCCUGAAUAUGAAGACUAAAGAUAUGCAUCUUUAUUCUUUCAUUCUUUAAGUCUGUCACACCCCCCUCUUAAGUGCACAAGGAGAGCCCUCUCUAUAGUUACAAUACAGUAAAGGAGUGGAUGGGAGGGGGAGUCCUCUCUACAAUACAGUAAAGGAGUGGAUGGGAGGGGGAGUCCUCUCUACAAUACAGUAAAGGAGUGGAUGGGAGGGGGAGUCUGCUACUCUAUCCUUGCUUUCCUGUGAUCAUGUGUAUGCUUUCAUAUUUGCAUGAGGAAGUGGAAGUAGCAUCAUUCAUCUGGGUUUGUAUUAGGCCUUGAAAGGUGCAAUUGAGAAACAGAUAGAGGGAGUAGCAUUGAAAAGACGAACAUGUCAAGGUCUGGAUUAAGGGGGUUUAGCACAUAUUUGUCAACCAGAGAAAAUGGCCUCCUCGUCAGCUUAAUUGGAGCAGACUGCCGUGUACUGGCAUCUGCAGUAGUCCAGCUUGUAUUGGUCAGCCCUGCUCAUAAAGGUCAAAGGUUAGCAUGGAAGGUCCAUGCCUGCGGGGUUGCAUGUUUAGAGCAGGAUCGAAAUGUGCACUCUGCAUUCAUACGCCUUUACUGUGUCAAGAAAGCUAAAUUGCUAUGGGAACAGGAGGUCUACACCCCUUUUAAGUACUCAGCACCACAUCCGUAUUUCCACAGUUUCCCGGGAGACCUCGGCCUCAGGUGCAGAUAAGGACCCAGAGUCUGGACUCCACAUCUGGACGACUUCUGUGGGAGAACAGGAACAAAAGUCAGCUGAAUUCACCAACAGACCACAUGCCAGCACCUGCUUCACCACAGAGGAGAAUCGUGUUCACUCUCCCUCCAGAUGUCACAACAAGAACACGUUCUGUGGAACAUGUUCUGUCUAAACCCUCCACACACCCUCCACACACCCUUUCCAAACCCAGGAGAGAGUCUUUGCCCUUGGCAAUAAGGAAAGGCCCGCUACCCUCUGUGCCAGUCCAUGCCAAAGAAGCCUCUGUGGGCAUUAGGAACAAAAGAAGUGAAAAUGCUCAGAGCUCAGCCCCGGGGAGCUCUCUGCCCUUGCCACAAUGGGUGCCACCCCCACCCUCUCACCAGGCACCUAGGGCCCCAUGUUAUAGCCUGCUGCUCAGCAAGGACACCGGUCACAGGGCCCUCACUGGAAGGGAUGCUUUCUCCAUGGUGAAGCGUUUUGACAAGGAAUGAUCUGCAGUAAGUAAGGAGCUGAAACUCAAGUGAGUGAAGUGAGUGAGGAUCACUCACCCUCUCAGUCACAUAAAAGUAGAUACACGUUGACCUUAUACUGUUAUGUAACAAUUAAAUCAGCAGUAAGGCUGUGCAUCUAUGCUGAGGAUAAGAAAGAGGAUUGACCUGAUACAUUCUUUUUUUAUAUUGUACACAAAUAAAAUUACAUAUUUGUUCA